GUUUUUAUAAUUUAAAAAAAAAUAUUGGUCUUGUAAACCAAAAAUAAGAAUUUUUCUUUAAAAACU
Molecule: transfer RNA, 66 nt
Filed under: Nagiella inferior
Lineage: Eukaryota; Metazoa; Arthropoda; Insecta; Lepidoptera; Crambidae
Description: tRNA-Thr
Rfam family: tRNA
About the family: Transfer RNA (tRNA) molecules are approximately 80 nucleotides in length. Their secondary structure includes four short double-helical elements and three loops (D, anti-codon, and T loops).
Source: RNAcentral